CUGGCUCAUAUUGAACGCUGGCGGCAUGCCUUACACAUGCAAGUCGAACGGCAGCACGGGCUUCGGCCUGGUGGCGAGUGGUGAACGGGUGAGUAAUACAUCGGAACAUGUCCUGUAGUGGGGGAUAGCCCGGCGAAAGCCGGAUUAAUACCGCAUACGAUCUGAGGAUGAAAGCGGGGGACCUUCGGGCCUCGCGCUAUAGGGUUGGCCGAUGGCUGAUUAGCUAGUUGGUGGGGUAAAGGCCUACCAAGGCGACGAUCAGUAGCUGGUCUGAGAGGACGACCAGCCACACUGGGACUGAGACACGGCCCAGACUCCUACGGGAGGCAGCAGUGGGGAAUUUUGGACAAUGGGCGCAAGCCUGAUCCAGCAAUGCCGCGUGUGUGAAGAAGGCCUUCGGGUUGUAAAGCACUUUUGUCCGGAAAGAAAUCAUUCUGGCUAAUACCCGGAGUGGAUGACG
This 460-nucleotide ribosomal RNA is filed under the name Burkholderia mallei. RNAcentral's name for it is "bacterial SSU rRNA". It matches the Rfam family "Bacterial small subunit ribosomal RNA", at positions 19 to 474 of the family's 1533-position model. Lineage: Bacteria; Pseudomonadati; Pseudomonadota; Betaproteobacteria; Burkholderiales; Burkholderiaceae. The record is from RNAcentral.